CGCUGGCGGUAUGCUUAACACAUGCAAGUCGAACGGAAGUCUUCGGACUUUAGUGGCGGACGGGUGAGUAACGCGUGAGAAUCUGGCUUUAGGUCGGGGACAACAGUUGGAAACGACUGCUAAUACCGGAUAUGCCGAGAGGUGAAAGAUUAAUUGCCUGAAGAAGAGCUCGCGUCUGAUUAGCUAGUUGGUGGGGUAAGAGCUUACCAAGGCGACGAUCAGUAGCUGGUCUGAGAGGACGAUCAGCCACACUGGGACUGAGACACGGCCCAGACUCCUACGGGAGGCAGCAGUGGGGAAUUUUCCGCAAUGGGCGAAAGCCUGACGGAGCAAUACCGCGUGAGGGAGGAAGGCUCUUGGGUUGUAAACCUCUUUUCUUAGGGAAGAAAAAAAUGACGGUACCUAAGGGAUCAGCAUCGGCUAACUCCGUGCCAGCAGCCGCGGUAAUACGGAGGAUGCAAGCGUUAUCCGGAAUGAUUGGGCGUAAAGCGUCCGCAGGUGGCAUUUCAAGUCUGCGGUCAA
Molecule: ribosomal RNA, 522 nt
Filed under: uncultured cyanobacterium
Lineage: Bacteria; Bacillati; Cyanobacteriota
Description: bacterial SSU rRNA
Rfam family: Bacterial small subunit ribosomal RNA
Source: RNAcentral